This 490-nucleotide ribosomal RNA is filed under the name uncultured bacterium. RNAcentral's name for it is "partial 16S ribosomal RNA". It matches the Rfam family "Bacterial small subunit ribosomal RNA", at positions 30 to 507 of the family's 1533-position model. The record is from RNAcentral.
AUUGAACGCUGGCGGCAGGCCUAACACAUGCAAGUCGAACGGUAACAGGAAGAAGCUUGCUUCUUUGCUGACGAGUGGCGGACGGGUGAGUAAUGUCUGGGAAACUGCCUGAUGGAGGGGGAUAACUACUGGAAACGGUAGCUAAUACCGCAUAAUGUCGCAAGACCAAAGAGGGGGACCUUCGGGCCUCUUGCCAUCGGAUGUGCCCAGAUGGGAUUAGCUAGUAGGUGGGGUAACGGCUCACCUAGGCGACGAUCCCUAGCUGGUCUGAGAGGAUGACCAGCCACACUGGAACUGAGACACGAUCCAGACUCCUACGGGAGGCAGCAGUGGGGAAUAUUGCACAAUGGGCGCAAGCCUGAUGCAGCUAUGCCGCGUGUAUGAAGAAGGCCUUCGGGUUGUAAAGUACUUUCAGCGGGGAGGAAGGGAGUAAAGUUAAUACCUUUGCUCAUUGACGUUACCCGCAGAAGAAGCACCGGCUAACUCCGUG